GGGGAAAUAGUAGUCAUCCAACUAAAUGCAUUUACUUACAUAAUUGAUUGUAAACCAGCAGGCUACUUGGCUGCUUGUUCCAUAACUGAGAUAUUCUUCCAUGUUUCUUCUAAUUUCCUGCAAAAAAAAAACAAAAAAAAAGUAAAAUGAAAAAAGCUGAUACAUUACUAUUCAUAUAAAGGCUCUCCAUGUACUCAAUCAACAGUAAUUCCUUAGGUAUCAGGAAACUAAUACUCACGAAGUUGAAGGAUCAAUAUGACCAAUUUUAGGUAAAUCAUUUCAGCAGUGUCUCUCUACAAAACCAAUUGAUCUAAAACGACAGUGGUUUAUAGGAUAAUUAGGACAAAUCAGCCUGAAAACUACGGUUUGUUACAUUUUGUUUCAUCAACCGAAGAG
This 396-nucleotide long non-coding RNA is filed under the name Trifolium pratense (red clover). RNAcentral describes it as "long non-coding RNA (TPRA_LNC007416)". Lineage: Eukaryota; Viridiplantae; Streptophyta; Magnoliopsida; Fabales; Fabaceae. The record is from RNAcentral.